GCAUGUAAUAUUUUCUAAUCGAGCUGCAACAUUUAUUCGAACAUGAGACGAAUUGAUGGAAAUUUCGGGCCCAGGGAUGUUGAAGAGGAUAAAAAGCGAAGCCGUGAUGCUGUUCUUGGUAGUUUCCUCAUAUUUGGAAUAAUGAUAGCUGCUAUCAGGAUAGUACCUUUCAUCCUGAAGAACGAUUAGAAAGUUUCAUUCAAUGAUGAAUAAUCUUAUCAACCUUAAAAGAUUGGAUAAUGUACUGAAGAGUGGCCCUACCAACUCAUUGUGAUAAAAAUUUUAUAUGAAUUUCAUUACUUGCUAGGAAAUAUUUAUCAUGAUGUUCUAUAAGUUUUGCGGAAUGCAAUAAAUUUUACUUAUAUUGCUGCAAUGUUUUCCUCUUUAGGAGCUGAGUGUUGAAUGUAUAGGAAUGUCUGAUAAUAAAAUAUCAAAAGGUA
Long non-coding RNA from Coccinella septempunctata (seven-spotted ladybird), 440 nucleotides. RefSeq lists it as uncharacterized. The record is from RefSeq and is a predicted model, not a curated record. Lineage: Eukaryota; Metazoa; Arthropoda; Insecta; Coleoptera; Coccinellidae. The transcript is spliced from 2 exons.